CUAGAUGGCUGGGCAAUCGCUUGAUUUAUUAAGAGGAAAGUCCGGGCUCCAUAAAAACACGAUGCUGGAUAACGCCCAGCGGGGGUGACCCUAGGGAAAGUGCAACAGAAAUUAGACCGCCAUAUAUAUAUGGUAAGGGUGAAAUGGUGCGGUAAGAGCGCACCGCGUUUUUGGUAACAAAAAUGGCAUAGUAAACCCCAUCGGGAGCAAGACCAAAUAGGAGCGGCAGGUUCAGGGCUUUUGCCUAUGAUGGAUGUGUUUUUACAUCAGAUCGUUCGGGUUGGUUGCUUAAGAUAUUUGGUAACAAAUAUAUUAGAUGAAUGAUUGUCUUUGACAAGACCCGGCUUAUAGGCCAUCUAGCUUU
RNAcentral lists this RNase P RNA (364 nucleotides) under Hyphomicrobiales bacterium. Its description in RNAcentral is "RNase P RNA component class A". It matches the Rfam family "Bacterial RNase P class A". From Rfam's summary of the family: Ribonuclease P (RNase P) is a ubiquitous endoribonuclease, found in archaea, bacteria and eukarya as well as chloroplasts and mitochondria. Its best characterised activity is the generation of mature 5'-ends of tRNAs by cleaving the 5'-leader elements of precursor-tRNAs. Lineage: Bacteria; Pseudomonadati; Pseudomonadota; Alphaproteobacteria; Hyphomicrobiales. The record is from RNAcentral.